CAGUAAAAAGUUUUCUCUAUGGAAUAUAUCAUUUCAUCUCCAACAUAAAACACUCAAGAAGAGACUGAGGCAGAGCAAGGAGUCACGUGAGCCUGUUUCUAACAGCUUGCAGAUUGGUGAGGGGCUGUGGAGAGUGGCGGGACACCAGCAGCUACAGCAGGAAGGCCAUAGAGAGCCCAGCUACUUCAGCAGACAGCAGAGCAGGGUGAUCGUCAAACACCGGUCGUCUUCGUAAACAAGUCCAGGGAGGCAUUGAUAUGUAUCAUCCUUUGAAGGCACAGGAAGCUAAAGAUCAGGAAAAAUUCAUUAAUCUGGAAAUGGCCCCGAGCUAAGCUUUACCCUCUUGUCCUACCUGAAUGCAACGGACUUCUGCCUAGGGUCAUGCGUUUGGCAGGACCUUGCAAAUGAUGAACUUCUCUGGCGAGAGUUGUGUCAAU
This 437-nucleotide long non-coding RNA is filed under the name Felis catus (domestic cat). RNAcentral describes it as "lncRNA (ENSFCAG00000047675.1)". The record is from RNAcentral. Lineage: Eukaryota; Metazoa; Chordata; Mammalia; Carnivora; Felidae.